RNAcentral lists this ribosomal RNA (477 nucleotides) under uncultured bacterium. Its description in RNAcentral is "partial 16S ribosomal RNA". It matches the Rfam family "Bacterial small subunit ribosomal RNA", at positions 28 to 507 of the family's 1533-position model. The record is from RNAcentral.
GAUUAACGCUGGCGGCGUGCAUAACACAUGCAAGUCGAACGAUGAAACUUAAAUGAUUUCUUCGGAAUGAACUUAAGUGGAUUAGUGGCGGACGGGUGAGUAACGCGUGAGUAACCUGCCUUACACAAGGGGAUAGCCGUUGGAAACGACGAAUAAUACCCUAUGAAACUAUCACUUCGCAUGAAGCGAUAGUCAAAGUGUUAGCGGUGUAAGAUGGACUUGCGUCUGAUUAGAUAGUUGGUGAGAAAAAAGCCCACCAAGGCAACGAUCAGUAGCCGGCUUGAGAGAGUGUACGGCCACAUUGGGACUGAGGCACGGCCCAGACUCCUACGGGAGGCAGCAGUGGGGAAUUUUGCACAAUGGGGGAAACCCUGAUGCAGCGACGCCGCGUGAUUUAGAAGGCCUUCGGGUUGUAAAAAUCUUUUGUAUAGGAAGAAAAUGACAGUGCUAUACGAAUAAGGUCCGGCUAAUUACGUG